GUGGGGAAUCUUGCGCAAUGGGCGAAAGCCUGACGCAGCCAUGCCGCGUGAAUGAUGAAGGUCUUAGGAUUGUAAAAUUCUUUCACCGGGGACGAUAAUGACGGUACCCGGAGAAGAAGUCCCGGCUAACUUCGUGCCAGCAGCCGCGGUAAUACGAAGGGGGCUAGCGUUGCUCGGAAUUACUGGUCGUAAAGGUCGCGUAGGCGGACAGUUUAGUCAGAGGUGAAAGCCCAGGGCUCAACCUUGGAAUUGCCUUUGAUACUGGCUGUCUUGAGUACGGGAGAGGUGAGUGGAACUCCGAGUGUAGAGGUGAAAUUCGUAGAUAUUCGGAAGAACACCAGUGGCGAAGGCGACUCACUGGCCCAAUACUGACGCUGAGGCGCGAAAGCGUGGGGAGCAAACAGGAUUAGAAACCCUUGUAGUCC
RNAcentral lists this ribosomal RNA (425 nucleotides) under uncultured bacterium. Its description in RNAcentral is "partial 16S ribosomal RNA". It matches the Rfam family "Bacterial small subunit ribosomal RNA", at positions 354 to 796 of the family's 1533-position model. The record is from RNAcentral.